CGCAAAGUGUCCUUUGUCGUGCAGUGGUGUGAACGUAACAUCUCCAUAACCACGGUAGAAUUCCCCCUGUUAGUGGAUAAAUGGGAGCAGUGGAACGGGCUAUUUCGGAUGAUUCGCUUUAACCUUUUCCUGCUUGACCGUAGCAUCGAGACCUUGAACUAGACCUACUUAGGCGAAUGGAAGUGGUUAAAGCCCCUGGGGGUGGCCUCUCAGCUUACGUUUCUCGACACUCAGAUACGUGCCGUACUCUCUCGUUGCAUGUGUGUGCAGUCGAGGGUGGACUUGAGGAAAGACUGCAGUUAGGUGAACUCCUGGUGCUCUACAUUAAUUAUUAUGAUUAAUAAUUAUGAAUAUCUGAGAAGUCCGUCUGUUUCCGAAUUUUCGGUAAGCAUUCGGGAUUUUGAGAAAAUUAAUAAUAAUCGGUGGAGUUUAUUCAACGAGAUUUUUUACUUGAUCAUUCACUGGAGUAAUAAAUUAUUAUAUAUAAUUUAUCACUCGUAUUUAUUAUUUAUUAAGUAAUAAUUAUUAUGGGAAUCUAGUCGGAAUUGCCUGGAAAUUAUUCGAUUGGAUAAAUAAUUGAUAAAUAUAUAUUUCUAUGAAGUGAAUGGAUCUUUUCCUAAAAUCUCACGUGAAUAUAAUUUAGUUUUAGCGAAACCUAUAAUUAAAUUAGAACCUAUAAUUAAAAUGGUUUGUUUCGAUUUGGAAAAUCUUAAA
This is a long non-coding RNA of Fopius arisanus, 714 nucleotides long. RefSeq lists it as uncharacterized. The record is from RefSeq and is a predicted model, not a curated record. NCBI's taxonomy places the organism in Eukaryota, Metazoa, Arthropoda, Insecta, Hymenoptera, Braconidae. The transcript is spliced from 3 exons.